This 253-nucleotide ribosomal RNA is filed under the name uncultured bacterium. RNAcentral's name for it is "partial 16S ribosomal RNA". It matches the Rfam family "Bacterial small subunit ribosomal RNA", at positions 524 to 776 of the family's 1533-position model. The record is from RNAcentral.
UACGUAGGGGGCGAGCGUUGUCCGGAUUUACUGGGCGUAAAGAGCGCGCAGGCGGUCGUUCAAGUCGAGUGUGAAAGCCCCCGGCUCAACUGGGGAGGGUCAUUCGAUACUGAUCGACUUGAAGGCAGGAGAGGGAAGUGGAAUUCCCGGUGUAGUGGUGAAAUGCGUAGAUAUCGGGAGGAACACCAGUGGCGAAAGCGGCUUCCUGGUCAGGGACCGACGUUCAGGCACGAAAGCGUGGGGAGCAAACAGG